AGUACGUGUUCAUGAAAUGCGACAAGGUGUUGAUAGCAAGGUUUCAAAAGUCGAGAUGGGCCGCUCGAUGUGGUCCGGUCGUAAUUAUCUACGCAACAGUGACUGGAUGUAAUAGUUUUUAUGUUUCCAAAACAAAUUUGUUGGAGUUCAUAUGGCUCCUUGCAAAAAGCCUCGUUGACCUCAAUCAACAUUCAAAGCUUUUGAAAUGUUAAACACAGGUGAACUACUCGGACCAAAAAGUAAGGGGUAGCGAAUUUGUUGUACCAGUUAAACUAUUAAUAUGUUCUAAAUAUCGAGCUAAACUUUUGCUUAUCUGGACGUAUUUUAAAUUCUGUAGAAAAUUUGAAGUGCCAACAAUGGCUCCGUAGCAAUUUUUAUUUUAGCCAAUUUUAUUCUGAAUAAUAAAUACACCUAAAACUAUUUUUUGUUUACAAAAUACUAUUUUUAUCAUGUUAACUAUUCC
Molecule: long non-coding RNA, 463 nt
Filed under: Setaria viridis
Lineage: Eukaryota; Viridiplantae; Streptophyta; Magnoliopsida; Poales; Poaceae
Description: long non-coding RNA (SVIR_LNC010056)
Source: RNAcentral